GAUGAACGCUGGCGGCGUGCCUAAUACAUGCAAGUCGAACGGCAGCACGGGAGCAAUCCUGGUGGCGUGUGGCGAACGGGUGAGUAAUGUAUCGGAACGUGCCCAGUCGUGGGGGGUAACGUAGCGAAAGCUACGCUAAUACCGCAUACGAGCUAGGGAUGAAAGCGGGGGACAGUAAGGCCUCGCGCGAUUGGAGCGGCCGAUAUCAGAUUAGGUAGUUGGUGGGGUAAAGGCCUACCAAGCCGACGAUCUGUAGCUGGUCUGAGAGGACGACCAGCCACACUGGGACUGAGACACGGCCCAGACUCCUACGGGAGGCAGCAGUGGGGAAUUUUGGACAAUGGGCGCAAGCCUGAUCCAGCAAUGCCGCGUGCAGGAUGAAGGCCUUCGGGUUGUAAACUGCUUUUGUACGGAGCGAAAAGGCUCUCUCUAAUACAGGGGGCUCAUGACGGUACCGUAAGAAUAAGCACCGGCUAACUACGUGCCAGCAGCCGCGGUAA
RNAcentral lists this ribosomal RNA (500 nucleotides) under uncultured bacterium. RNAcentral's name for it is "partial 16S ribosomal RNA". It matches the Rfam family "Bacterial small subunit ribosomal RNA", at positions 28 to 523 of the family's 1533-position model. The record is from RNAcentral.